GCCGGGCGUGGCAGCGUGUGCCUGUAGUCCCAGCUACUCAGGAGGCUGAGGCAGGAGAAUUGCUUGAACUCGGGAGGCAGAGGUUGCAGUGAGCCGAGAUCGCGCCACUGCACUCCAGCCUGGGUGACAGAGCGAGACUUUGUCUCUU
This is an unclassified non-coding RNA of Papio anubis (olive baboon), 148 nucleotides long. It matches the Rfam family "Metazoan signal recognition particle RNA". Rfam says of the family: The signal recognition particle (SRP) is a universally conserved ribonucleoprotein. It is involved in the co-translational targeting of proteins to membranes. Lineage: Eukaryota; Metazoa; Chordata; Mammalia; Primates; Cercopithecidae. The record is from Ensembl.